Molecule: ribosomal RNA, 692 nt
Filed under: uncultured Bacteroidales bacterium
Lineage: Bacteria; Pseudomonadati; Bacteroidota; Bacteroidia; Bacteroidales
Description: bacterial SSU rRNA
Rfam family: Bacterial small subunit ribosomal RNA
Source: RNAcentral
GCAGCGGGAUUGAACCUUGCUUCAUUUGCCGGCGACCGGCGCACGGGUGAGUAACGCGUAUCCAACCUUCCGCUUACUCGGGGAUAGCCUUUCGAAAGAAAGAUUAAUACCCGAUGGUAUCUUAAGCACGCAUGAGAUUAAGAUUAAAGAUUUAUCGGUAAGCGAUGGGGAUGCGUUCCAUUAGGCAGUUGGCGGGGUAACGGCCCACCAAACCUACGAUGGAUAGGGGUUCUGAGAGGAAGGUCCCCCACAUUGGAACUGAGACACGGUCCAAACUCCUACGGGAGGCAGCAGUGAGGAAUAUUGGUCAAUGGGCGAGAGCCUGAACCAGCCAAGUAGCGUGAAGGAUGACGGCCCUACGGGUUGUAAACUUCUUUUGUGCGGGAAUAAAGGAGCCUACGUGUAGGUUUUUGCAUGUACCGUAACGAAUAAGCAUCGGCUAACUCCGUGCCAGCAGCCGCGGUAAUACGGAGGAUGCGAGCGUUAUCCGGAUUUAUUGGGUUUAAAGGGAGCGUAGACGGGUUUUUAAGUCAGCUGUGAAAGUUUGGGGCUCAACCUUAAAAUUGCAGUUGAAACUGGAGACCUUGAGUACGGUUGAGGCAGGCGGAAUUCGUGGUGUAGCGGUGAAAUGCUUAGAUAUCACGAAGAACCCCGAUUGCGAAGGCAGCCUGCUAAGCCGCCACUGACGUUGA